CCUACGGGGGGCAGCAGUGGGGGAUAUUGGACAAUGGGGGGAACCCUGAUCCAGCGACGCCGCGUGAGUGAAGAAGUAUCUCGGUAUGUAAAGCUCUAUCAGCAGGGAAGAAGAAAUGACGGUACCUGAGUAAGAAGCCCCGGCUAACUACGUGCCAGCAGCCGCGGUAAUACGUAGGGGGCAAGCGUUAUCCGGAAUUACUGGGUGUAAAGGGAGCGUAGACGGUGAUGUAAGUCUGGAGUGAAAGGUGGGGGCCCAACCCCCGGACUGCUCUGGAAACUAUGUGACUGGAGUGCAGGAGAGGUGAGCGGAAUUCCUAGUGUAGCGGUGAAAUGCGUAGAUAUUAGGAGGAACACCAGUGGCGAAGGCGGCUUACUGGACUGUAACUGACGUUGAGGCUCGAAAGCGUGGGGAGCAAACAGGAUUAGAUACCCUUGUAGUC
RNAcentral lists this ribosomal RNA (442 nucleotides) under uncultured bacterium. RNAcentral describes it as "partial 16S ribosomal RNA". It matches the Rfam family "Bacterial small subunit ribosomal RNA", at positions 338 to 795 of the family's 1533-position model. The record is from RNAcentral.